Molecule: long non-coding RNA, 502 nt
Filed under: Carica papaya (papaya)
Lineage: Eukaryota; Viridiplantae; Streptophyta; Magnoliopsida; Brassicales; Caricaceae
Description: long non-coding RNA (CPAP_LNC011179)
Source: RNAcentral
AUGAUCCAAACGGUUAAAGAUUAAAAAUAAUAGUAUUAACAAAACAGAAGUGCUGUAGCUCUCCCAAAAAAGAAAAUCAAGCAAUAAAAUAUCAAUUCAAUAAAACAAUUGAACAGCUACAUGUUAUCUUACAAGGGUGUAAACGUAGCUAUGGCGUAGACGGUGAUUUAACCAUUCUCCGUGUGCAGUCUUUUGGCAGAUGGAUACUAUGAAAUUUUGGCUCCCUUGGAAUGGUGGUGGCAGGUUGCCUUCUUUCCUGUGACAUUGACCUAGAAGCAAUAGAAGCAGGGGAAGCACCAUUCUCAUUUGGCUUUCCCAUUUCUUUAGGUUUUGAGGUUUCCAUCAUUACACCGAGUUGACGUGAUGUCGCGGGAGAAACCCUUUUCUUCCUACCUGAUUCGAUCCUGCAAGAGCAGGCUCUCAUUUGGCUUUCCCAUUUCUUUAGGUUUUGAGGUUUCCAUUAUUACACCGAGUUGACGUGAUGCCGCGGGAGAACCCCUUU